UCCGGCUUAUCGCCGGCAGUCUCUCCAGAGUCCCCAGCUUGACCUGAUGGUAACUGAAGAUAAGGGUUGCGCUCGUUGCGGGACUUAACCCAACAUCUCACGACACGAGCCGACGACGGCCAUGCAGCACCUGUGUUCUGGCUCUCUUUCGAGCACUCCCAAAUCUCUCUAGGAUUCCAGACAUGUCAAGGGUAGGUAAGGUUUUUCGCGUUGCAUCGAAUUAAACCACAUCAUCCACCGCUUGUGCGGGUCCCCGUCAAUUCCUUUGAGUUUCGGUCUUGCGACCGUACUCCCCAGGCGGAGUGUUUCACGCGUUAGCUGGGCCCCUGAUCCACGUAGACCAAGGGCGAACACUCAUCGUUUACGGCAUGGACUAC
Molecule: unclassified non-coding RNA, 377 nt
Filed under: uncultured Pseudomonadota bacterium
Lineage: Bacteria; Pseudomonadati; Pseudomonadota
Description: uncultured proteobacterium contains 16S-23S intergenic spacer region
Source: RNAcentral